CGAACUUCGACAGCAACGGACGCACCAACAUAUGGUGAUUUUCAGCUGGCCUAAGAUUCGGCGUGUAAGAUUUUUGGUUACCACAAUGACGCAGUCGUUUUAGGAAGGUAUAAUGAUUUUACCGGCAAUCACCAAGAAAUCACCUCGGAAACCACCUCUUUGAUUUUAUCACAUAUGCCGCAAGAUUCGAAACGUUGUUUCCAUCAACUAUUUGGUCGUGACAGCAGAGGACACGGCACACAUCUUGCAGGAUCAUUAAAGUCAUUCAUAAUCAAUAUGUCAUUACUAUGUUUGUUUUUC
This is a long non-coding RNA of Armigeres subalbatus, 300 nucleotides long. RefSeq lists it as uncharacterized. The transcript is spliced from 3 exons. NCBI's taxonomy places the organism in Eukaryota, Metazoa, Arthropoda, Insecta, Diptera, Culicidae. The record is from RefSeq and is a predicted model, not a curated record.